RNAcentral lists this microRNA precursor (69 nucleotides) under Human alphaherpesvirus 2. Its description in RNAcentral is "microRNA hsv2-mir-H25 precursor". Its record names the gene hsv2-mir-H25. The record is from miRBase by way of RNAcentral. Lineage: Duplodnaviria; Heunggongvirae; Peploviricota; Herviviricetes; Herpesvirales; Orthoherpesviridae.
GCCGGCGUCCCGGUCGCCGCCGCACCAGGGGCACACCGGCUGCGCGGCGGAGACCGGGACGGCAGCGGC